Molecule: long non-coding RNA, 259 nt
Filed under: Oryza brachyantha (malo sina)
Lineage: Eukaryota; Viridiplantae; Streptophyta; Magnoliopsida; Poales; Poaceae
Description: long non-coding RNA (OBRA_LNC001290)
Source: RNAcentral
UGACUAAUUUGUAGUAAAAGCUAUUGGCCCAAGUAACUGAGAAUUACAGCUCACAACUUGAUGAAUAACAAAAGGGAAAAAAAAUUUACAUACAACGCUAGCCUACUGACAGAAUAACGUCACCAACAUUGCACCGGCGUUUUGCCGUGUCUUCAAAAAAAAAAAAUAACGAACCACACAAAUAAUUUGAUUCCUGCCAUGAAUGUAUUCCCUUCUGGCUUCUUAUUCUCUGGGAUUAAACGUACUCGUAAUAAUAUCC